GGGGGCGAUUCUGGAUUCGACGUGGGUUACAAACCUCCGGGUGCAUGCCGAGAUGACAGCCAAUCUCGUUAAUCCAAAGCUGUAAUAGUUAUAGUCGCAAACGACGAAAACUACGCUCUAGCAGCUUAAACCCUGUUAGCGGUUGAUACUGGAUGCUAGUAAACAGGACUCAACUGUCAUAGAGAACUAGAUCGCAGCAAAGCGUGCCUGAAGCAGCGCUGCUAAACACUUUUCAGGAUCGCUGUUAUCGUCCCGCCCGCUGGGCUGAUAACGGUUAACUCAAUAAGCGGACCUAAGCAUGUAGAGCCUCGAGCAGCGGACUGACGGACGCGGGUUCAAAUCCCGCCGCCUCCACCA
Molecule: transfer-messenger RNA, 357 nt
Filed under: Pseudomonadales
Lineage: Bacteria; Pseudomonadati; Pseudomonadota; Gammaproteobacteria
Also listed under: 1 other name
Description: JAJFKB01 sp024234615 Standard tmRNA
Rfam family: transfer-messenger RNA
About the family: Bacterial tmRNA, also known as 10Sa RNA or SsrA, is named for its dual tRNA and mRNA-like properties.
Source: RNAcentral